This 468-nucleotide ribosomal RNA is filed under the name uncultured bacterium. RNAcentral describes it as "partial 16S ribosomal RNA". It matches the Rfam family "Bacterial small subunit ribosomal RNA", at positions 28 to 507 of the family's 1533-position model. The record is from RNAcentral.
GACGAACGCUAGCGGCGUGCUUAACACAUGCAAGUCGAACGGAAAGGCUCUGCUGUUGUGUGUUGCUGGAGUGGGUAACGCAUGAGUAACAAGUGAGUAACCUGCCCUCCUCUUUGGGAUAACUUCACUAACCUGGGGCUAAUACCCGAUAGAUGCUCCUGCCGCAUGGUGGGUGUUGUAAAGUUUCGAUGGUUGGGGAGGGACUCGCGGCUUAUCAGCUUGUUGGUGGGGUAGGGGAUCACCAUGGCUUUGACGGGUAGCCGGCCUGAGAGGGUGACCGGCCAAAUUGGGACUGAGAUACGGGCCGGAGUCGUACGGGAGGCAGGAGUGGGGACUAAUGCCCGAUGGGCGGAAGCCGGAUGCAGCAUGACCGCGUGAGGGAUGAUGGCCUUCGGGUUGCAAACCGCUUUCGCCUGUACCGAAGUGUAGGUGAAGGUAAUGGGUAAAGAAGCACCGGCUAACUACGUG